Long non-coding RNA from Nyctereutes procyonoides (raccoon dog), 423 nucleotides. RefSeq lists it as uncharacterized. NCBI's taxonomy places the organism in Eukaryota, Metazoa, Chordata, Mammalia, Carnivora, Canidae. The transcript is spliced from 3 exons. The record is from RefSeq and is a predicted model, not a curated record.
UGCUGGCGCGAGACCGUGCGCGCGAGUUUGAGGAGGUCCACGGGCACCACGGCCCCGGGACAGCGCUUCUCCAGGAACUCUUGGAAGCCCUGGACGCCCAUGCUUCGUCGGUGGGCAGACGAGACGGCGGCUGCGCGAGCAGCCGAUCUUCACCGCUUCAAAAGGGGUGAAGCCUCUUCCUUCCACCUCCGGGAGCCAUGUUGCCUCGUCUUCUCUAUGCACCCUUUCUCUACUUUAUCCUCAUGGUUGCAGCAGGAAGCAUUCUUUAUGUACCUUCACAGAGAAUUUGGGAUUGAGCUGGUGAAGAGAUGAAAAAUCCUGGCUGCAUUCAAGCACCUGAUGUAUUUGUUCCUAAAGCCCAUUUGCAUUAUCCCUGGGUUUUGUGAGACACCACCAUCUUUAUAAUAAAUUCUUUUUGCUUAA